AGGUGGGAAUUACUAACACUUCUUUGUAAGCAUGUCUGACAGUAUCAAAUAUUUGUUUCUUUUACAGUUGGGCAAAACUGAGGCGGAGGGAAGUUGUGAUUGUCGAAGCCGCAGAUAAAAUGCUUGGUUCUCAAGAUAAUCUCCUCCUUGAUUGCUUAGCAGCUGAAACAGCACCCCACACAGUUCCUCCUGCCCUUUAGGAUAAUCUGUAUUUACAACAUCACGCUGCCAUCUUCCAUUUGGGCCAAUUUCAAGAAUAAACACAAGCAUGCAUGCAAUUUGUAAGCACCAAAAAGGCUUUGUCUAAACAGAACAAAACCUGUUAUGCAUCAUGUCAGAAGAGUUUUGGAGUUGCUCUGAGGACAGUUUUGCAUUUUUAAAUAUCGCAUUAUCUUUGGAUUAGUGUUGGCUUAUGACCUUGGCUUUCAGGAAGUGUUUUGACAGCUGACAAUGAUAAUAGUAGCUCUUAUUUCCAUGAUAAAAUAUGUAGUGUCAGUGGUGAUGCUGUAAUAAAAAUAAAAUAAAUAUUGGCUGUGGUUUCA
This 542-nucleotide long non-coding RNA is filed under the name Phascolarctos cinereus (koala). RNAcentral describes it as "lncRNA (ENSPCIG00000036159.1)". Lineage: Eukaryota; Metazoa; Chordata; Mammalia; Diprotodontia; Phascolarctidae. The record is from RNAcentral.